RNAcentral lists this ribosomal RNA (492 nucleotides) under uncultured bacterium. RNAcentral's name for it is "partial 16S ribosomal RNA". It matches the Rfam family "Bacterial small subunit ribosomal RNA", at positions 29 to 507 of the family's 1533-position model. The record is from RNAcentral.
AGUGAACGCUGGCGGUAUGCCUAACACAUGCAAGUCGAACGGCAGCACAGUAAGAGCUUGCUCUUACGGGUGGCGAGUGGCGGACGGGUGAGGAAUACAUCGGAAUCUACUUUUUCGUGGGGGAUAACGUAGGGAAACUUACGCUAAUACCGCAUACGACCUACGGGUGAAAGCAGGGGAUCUUCGGACCUUGCGCGAUUGAAUGAGCCGAUGUCGGAUUAGCUAGUUGGCGGGGUAAAGGCCCACCAAGGCGACGAUCCGUAGCUGGUCUGAGAGGAUGAUCAGCCACACUGGAACUGAGACACGGUCCAGACUCCUACGGGGGGCAGCAGUGGGGAAUAUUGGACAAUGGGCGCAAGCCUGAUCCAGCCAUACCGCGUGGGUGAAGAAGGCCUUCGGGUUGUAAAGCCCUUUUGUUGGGAAAGAAAAGCAGCAGGUUAAUACCCCGCUGUUCUGACGGUACCCAAAGAAUAAGCACCGGCUAACUUCGUG